Molecule: ribosomal RNA, 224 nt
Filed under: uncultured bacterium
Lineage: Bacteria
Description: partial 16S ribosomal RNA
Rfam family: Bacterial small subunit ribosomal RNA
Source: RNAcentral
UCUGAUCUAGCAACACCGCGUGUGCGAAGAAGGCCUUCGGGUCGUAAAGCACUUUUUGGAAGGAAUAGGAAGGAAUGUACUUCCAGAAUAAGUCUCUGCUAACUACGUGCCAGCAGCCGCGGUAACACGUAGGCGGCAAACGUUAUCCGGAUUUACUGUGCGUAAAGCGAGUGUAGGUGGUACUGUAAGUAGGGCGUGAAAGCUCCUGGCUCAACUGGGAGAGG